GACGAACGCUGGCGGCGUGCUUAACACAUGCAAGUCGAACGAUGAAGCCUAGCUUGCUAGGUGGAUUAGUGGCGAACGGGUGAGUAAUACGUGAGUGACCUACCUUUGACUCUGGGAUAAGCCUGGGAAACUGGGUCUAAUACCGGAUACGACCAAUCUCCGCAUGGGGUGUUGGUGGAAAGCGUUAUGGAGUGGUUUUAGAUGGGCUCACGGCCUAUCAGCUUGUUGGUGAGGUAAUGGCUUACCAAGGCGACGACGGGUAGCCGGCCUGAGAGGGUGACCGGCCACACUGGGACUGAGACACGGCCCAGACUCCUACGGGAGGCAGCAGUGGGGAAUAUUGCACAAUGGGCGCAAGCCUGAUGCAGCGACGCCGCGUGAGGGGUGACGGCCUUCGGGUUGUAAACCUCUGUUAGCAUCGAAGAAGCGAAAGUGACGGUAGGUGCAGAGAAAGCGCCGGCUAACUACGUG
This 471-nucleotide ribosomal RNA is filed under the name uncultured bacterium. Its description in RNAcentral is "partial 16S ribosomal RNA". It matches the Rfam family "Bacterial small subunit ribosomal RNA", at positions 28 to 507 of the family's 1533-position model. The record is from RNAcentral.